This 253-nucleotide ribosomal RNA is filed under the name uncultured bacterium. RNAcentral describes it as "partial 16S ribosomal RNA". It matches the Rfam family "Bacterial small subunit ribosomal RNA", at positions 524 to 776 of the family's 1533-position model. The record is from RNAcentral.
AACGUAGGUGGCGAGCGUUAUCCGGAUUUACUGGGCGUAAAGGGUGUGCAGGCUGCCCCUCAAGUGGUGUAUGAAAGGGCUCGGCUCAACCGGGCUAGGUUAUGCCAGACUGAGGGGCUAGAGAGCGAGAGCGGGACGUGGAAUUCCGGGUGUAGUGGUGAAAUGCGUAGAUAUCUGGAGGAACACCGGUGGCGAAGGCGGCAUCCUGGACCGAUAUUGACGCUGAUGCGCGAAAGCCAGGGGAGCAAACGGG